GGUAGAUAUUUCUUUCAGGAUAACCUUACGUUUAAUGAGAAAGUAAGAAUU
This 51-nucleotide small RNA is filed under the name Thalassionema nitzschioides. RNAcentral's name for it is "partial Mitochondrion-encoded tmRNA". Lineage: Eukaryota; Bacillariophyta; Fragilariophyceae; Thalassionematales; Thalassionemataceae. The record is from RNAcentral.